CAGCCGCCGCGGUAAUACGUAGGUGGCAAGCGUUGUCCGGAAUUAUUGGGCGUAAAGGGCUCGCAGGCGGCUUCUUAAGUCUGAUGUGAAAGCCCCCGGCUCAACCGGGGAGGGUCAUUGGAAACUGGGAAACUUGAGUGCAGAAGAGGAGAGUGGAAUUCCACGUGUAGCGGUGAAAUGCGUAGAGAUGUGGAGGAACACCAGUGGCGAAGGCGACUCUCUGGUCUGUAACUGACGCUGAGGAGCGAAAGCGUGGGGAGCGAACAGGAUUAGAUACCCCUGUAGUCCCUGUCUCUUAUAC
Molecule: ribosomal RNA, 301 nt
Filed under: uncultured bacterium
Lineage: Bacteria
Description: partial 16S ribosomal RNA
Rfam family: Bacterial small subunit ribosomal RNA
Source: RNAcentral